Molecule: ribosomal RNA, 444 nt
Filed under: uncultured marine bacterium
Lineage: Bacteria
Description: bacterial SSU rRNA
Rfam family: Bacterial small subunit ribosomal RNA
Source: RNAcentral
UGCCGCGUGAGUGAUGAAGGCCUUAGGGUCGUAAAGCUCUUUCGCCUGUGAAGAUAAUGACUGUACCAGGUAAAGAAACCCCGGCUAACUCCGUGCCAGCAGCCGCGGUAAUACGGAGGGGGUUAGCGUUGUUCGGAAUUACUGGGCGUAAAGCGCGCGUAAGCGGACUGGAAAGUAGGGGGUGAAAUCCCAGGGCUCAACCCUGGAACUGCCUCCAAAACUCUCAAUCUAGAGUUCGAGAGAGGUGAGUGGAAUUCCGAGUGUAGAGGUGAAAUUCGUAUAUAUUCGGAGGAACACCAGUGGCGAAGGCGGCUCACUGGCUCGAUACUGACGCUGAGGUGCGAAAGCGUGGGGAGCAAACAGGAUUAAAUACCCUGGUAGUCCACACCGUAAACGAUGAAGGCCAGUCGUCGGAUAGCAUGCUAUUCGGUGACACACCUAACG